Molecule: ribosomal RNA, 497 nt
Filed under: uncultured bacterium
Lineage: Bacteria
Description: partial 16S ribosomal RNA
Rfam family: Bacterial small subunit ribosomal RNA
Source: RNAcentral
GAUGAACGCUGGCGGCGUGCCUAAUACAUGCAAGUCGAGCGAACAGACGAGGAGCUUGCUCCUCUGACGUUAGCGGCGGACGGGUGAGUAACACGUGGAUAACCUACCUAUAAGACUGGGAUAACUUCGGGAAACCGGAGCUAAUACCGGAUAAUAUAUUGAACCGCAUGGUUCAAUAGUGAAAGACGGUUUUGCUGUCACUUAUAGAUGGAUCCGCGCCGCAUUAGCUAGUUGGUAAGGUAACGGCUUACCAAGGCAACGAUGCGUAGCCGACCUGAGAGGGUGGUCGGCGACACUGGAACUGAGACACGGUCCAGACUCCGACGGGAGGCAGCAGUAGGGAAUCUUCCGCAAUGGGCGAAAGCCUGACGGAGCAACGCAGCGUGAGUGAUGAAGGUCUUCGGAUCGUAAAACUCUGUUAUUAGGGAAGAACAAAUGUGUAAGUAAAUAUGCACGUCUUGACGGUACCUAAUCAGAAAGCCACGGCUAACUACGUG